UCGCCUGUUUUAUCAAAAACAUCUCAUCUUGAAUAAUUUAGAUGUAGGCUCUGCUCAGUGAUUUUUUAAAUAGCCGCAGUAUCUUGACUGUGCUAAGGUAGCAUAGUAAUUUGUCCUAUAAUUGAGGGCUGGUAUGAAAGAGUUGAUGUUUUCUAUGCUUUCUUAUUUAAACAAACUAAACUUGAUAUUCACGUCAAAAAGCGUGAAUAAUUAAAGGGACGAUAAGACCCUAUAAAGCUUUACUAAUUAAAAAGUUGCAUAAAUUGAUUUUUUUUUACUUAAAUUUUAAGUUAAGCUGGGGCGGCAUCUACAUAUCAAUAAGAAAUUUUAACACUAAUAAUUGGUUAGAAAGUUCUUUAUUAAAGAUAGAUUAAGCUACUUUAGGGAUAACAGCACAAUUUUCUCGAAUAGACCUUAUAAAUGAGAAAGACUUGUGACCUCGAUGUUGAAUUGAGGGGCCCAUCUUAAGCAGAAAUAAGAUAGGGAGGUCUGUUCGACCUUUAAUACCUCACGUGAUCUG
RNAcentral lists this ribosomal RNA (520 nucleotides) under Rectisura sp. BOLD:ADL3110. Its description in RNAcentral is "partial 16S ribosomal RNA". It matches the Rfam family "Archaeal large subunit ribosomal RNA", at positions 1888 to 2676 of the family's 2987-position model. The record is from RNAcentral. Lineage: Eukaryota; Metazoa; Arthropoda; Malacostraca; Isopoda; Munnopsidae.